RNAcentral lists this ribosomal RNA (253 nucleotides) under uncultured bacterium. RNAcentral describes it as "partial 16S ribosomal RNA". It matches the Rfam family "Bacterial small subunit ribosomal RNA", at positions 524 to 776 of the family's 1533-position model. The record is from RNAcentral.
GACAGAGGGUGCGAACGUUGCUCGGAAUUACUGGGCGUAAAGCGCACGUAGGCGGCUUCUUAAGUCGGAGGUGAAAUCCUGGAGCUCAACUCCAGAACUGCCUUCGAUACUGGGAGCUCGAGUCCGGGAGAGGUGAGUGGAACUGCGAGUGUAGAGGUGAAAUUCGUAGAUAUUCGCAAGAACACCAGUGGCGAAGGCGGCUCACUGGCCCGGUACUCGACGCUGAGGUGCGAAAGCGUGGGGAGCAAACAGG